GUACCUCAUGAGUUAGACGAUGAGCACCCUCUUGCUUUUGUCACCAAGAGGCCUAAUGUCAAGGUGACGGAACAGGAAUUGAUAGACUUUGUAGCG
Long non-coding RNA from Temnothorax curvispinosus, 96 nucleotides. RefSeq lists it as uncharacterized. The record is from RefSeq and is a predicted model, not a curated record. NCBI's taxonomy places the organism in Eukaryota, Metazoa, Arthropoda, Insecta, Hymenoptera, Formicidae. The transcript has 2 exons.